GAAUGGAGCAAAAAUCAUGCUACCACUCCACUCCAGCCUGGGUGACAUUGCGACACUUUGUCAAAAAAAAAUUUGAAAUUUUGAUGGAAAAUGUUCUUUUGAGUAAAACAAUAACAAAAACCUAAUAGGGAGAUGAGUUACUCAAGUGCUCUAUUUAGAUGCUUUAAUAAUUAUGUGGAUAUUCGAGUUACACAGCAAAUAGCUCAUGUGCUAAUCAUGAAAGAUUGGUCACAGGAAGCAUCUACACACAGAUAGUUCCUUUUAUGACUUAGUUUCUGACCUUGAUCAAAUGUAUAUAUUUUUAAAACUCCACAAAACUAUAGGGUCACAAAAUGACUUAAGAAGCAACAUUAAAUGGCAAAGCCAAUCAUUCACCAUGAGUGUUGAUGACCAUCUGAAAUGAGCAUUAGUGUCCUAACACUUAACGAACAUGUCACUUGUCCCUGUUCCAGCCCGGGCCACGCCCUACAUGUCUUUCUGCUCUCACAGUGCUAGUGCAGAGUCCUGCACACAAUCAAAAGAAUGAAUGUUGUCAUCAU
RNAcentral lists this long non-coding RNA (539 nucleotides) under Homo sapiens (human). RNAcentral describes it as "non-protein coding lnc-SNAI1-3:2". Lineage: Eukaryota; Metazoa; Chordata; Mammalia; Primates; Hominidae. The record is from RNAcentral.